Molecule: non-coding RNA, 502 nt
Organism: Caretta caretta (loggerhead turtle)
Lineage: Eukaryota; Metazoa; Chordata; Testudines; Cheloniidae
Source: RefSeq, a predicted model, not a curated record
CGGCCUCCCCCGGCCGCUCAGCCAGUACGAGGUGAGGGCCGGGGCCCCGCUCGGCCUCCCCCGGCCUCCCCCGGCCGCUCAGCCAGUACGAGGUGAGGGCCGGGGCCCCGCUCAGCCUCCCCCGGCCGCUCAGCCAGUACGAGGUGAGGGCCGGGGCCCCGCUCGGCCUCCCCCGGCCUCCCCCGGCCGCUCAGCCAGUACGAGGUGAGGGCCGGGGCCCCGCUCAGCCUCCCCCGGCCGCUCAGCCAGUACGAGGUGAGGGCCGGGGCCCCGCUCGGCCUCCCCCGGCCUCCCCCGGCCGCUCAGCCAGUACGAGGUGAGGGCCGGGGCCCCGCUCAGCCUCCCCCGGCCGCUCAGCCAGUACGAGGUGAGGGCCGGGGCCCCGCUCGGCCUCCCCCGGCCUCCCAGCCAGUACGAGGUGAGGGCCGGGGCCCGGGGCCCCGCUCGGCCUCCCCCGGCCGCUCAGCGGGUACGAGGUGGGAACAUGCUCUCGCUCUCUCUC